AUGCACUAACAAAGAAAGCAAUUAUAAAGAAAAAGGAAUUACACAAAUAACAAAGAACAUUAUCACUCUAGGUACACAAUUACUGAAAUAGCCAAACAUUGAAUGAAAAGGAACACCAAACACAACCAUUAAAGAUACAGCAAAAACUCACACAGAUUUCACAGAAAUAGUUAUACUGAAACCAAAAAUUGAUCAUCAAUUCAAGCCAAAAAAAUCUUUCACGAUUUAUCCUAAUGAACCAACAGAGAAUAUUAUUAUAAUAGAAACAAGAGAGAGCACAAUUGCUGAAACCCAAAACUUAGAGAUUCAAUGAAAACCCUCAAAGAAUUGACAAAAACAGAAUCCACUGACCACCAAUUUAUCAUCAUAUAGCUUUAGAAAUUAUCGUGAAAAUGUGACUGACCUGUUUUUCAGUUAAGUAUCUUAUUAUUAACUCACUUCUCGGUUGAUCUGGAGCAGCACUUGAAUCCAUCGUUUAAAGUCCUUGUCUAGUUCUUCUCGGUGGAAAAAUCAGGAGACAAUGGUCAGAAUUGUACAAAAAGCAAUACAAAUCGGAAAUUCCCAGUGUUUAACCCAAAUUGAUCAUCAGUUGGAUCAAAGAACAAAAACCCUUGAAUAUAAACUAUCCUUCGAGAUUCAUUCUAUGCGUGAAUUUAGAACAUGAUAAUCGUAUAGCAAAAGAAAUUAUAGAGAGAACACAAUUGCUGAAUCCCCAAACUUAGAGAUUCGGUGAAAACCCUCAAAGAAUUCACAAAAACAGAGUCCACUUAAACCCGAUAUAUCAUCAUAUACUAGAAGAAAUUAUAGAAAUUAUCGUGAAAUGUGACUGACCUGUUUUUCAGUUAUCUUGUUAUUAACUUACUUCUCGGUAGAUCUGGAACAGCACUUGAAUCCGUCUUUUAAAAUCCUU
RNAcentral lists this long non-coding RNA (910 nucleotides) under Olea europaea subsp. europaea. Lineage: Eukaryota; Viridiplantae; Streptophyta; Magnoliopsida; Lamiales; Oleaceae. The record is from RNAcentral.